This is a small nuclear RNA of Monodelphis domestica (gray short-tailed opossum), 128 nucleotides long. The record is from Ensembl. Lineage: Eukaryota; Metazoa; Chordata; Mammalia; Didelphimorphia; Didelphidae.
GAGUUGUAUGAAAGGAGAGAAGGUUAGCACUGCCUUUGAUAAGAAUGGAAAAGGUUCUAAUUCAUUACAAAAAUGAAUGAUAUGGAAAUAGGUAUCAAGUGAUAACACAUGCAUUACCUAGUGGAUUU